This is a long non-coding RNA of Neofelis nebulosa (Clouded leopard), 7583 nucleotides long. RefSeq lists it as uncharacterized. The record is from RefSeq and is a predicted model, not a curated record. NCBI's taxonomy places the organism in Eukaryota, Metazoa, Chordata, Mammalia, Carnivora, Felidae. The transcript has 3 exons.
CUUUUCUUUAAGUAGGCCUCAUGCCCAGCACAGAGCCCAACAUGGGGCUUGAACUCAUGACCCUGAGAUCAAGAUCUGAGCUGAGAUCAAGAGUCAGAUGUUUAAUUGAGCCACCCAGGUGCCUUUAGAUAACCUGUCAUCUCUUAAUCUUCGUGUUUUUGAAAAUAUAGCUAGACAUAUAUGCAUUCAUAAUUCUUUCCUUUUUUACACUAGUAAAAAUACCAUGUUAAAAAUACUUAUGCUUGGGGUGGUUAAGUGUCCAAUUCUUGAUUUUGGCUCACAGUUCCCAUGAGUUUGAGCCCCACAGCAGGCUCUGCGCUGACAGCACGGAUCCUGCUUGGGAUUCUCUCUCCCCUACCUCUCUCUGCCCUUCCCCUGCUAGCACGGUCUCUCACUCUCUCUCAAAACCAAUAAAACAUUAAAAAAUAACCACAUGAUUGAUUUUUCAAAAAACUUCUAUUUUACAAAAUAAGUUACCCCUCAUUCUUCAGUUUUUUUAUAGCUUCAUAAUAACCCAUUGUUUCAGGAGGCUGUGCCUCAUUACCAGUCCCCUCAUGAUGGAUGUUUAGGCUAUCAAUCUUUUUUUGGUACAAAUAAUGCUGCAGUGCAGGUGCCUUGUGCCUGUCACUUUCUGUUUUCGCUGACCUCUCUUUGGGAUAGAUUCCUAGAAGUGGAAUUGCUGGGUCAAAUACCUAGCAUAUGUAAUUUGCCAAAUUUCCCUUCUCAGGGAUAGGUAGCAUCGUGUGUGUCACCUCAUAGUCUUAUCUACAAAGCCUCAAAUAUUUACUAUUUACAGAAAAGGGUUGCCAACCCCCUUAUUGCAAUCCUUAAGGUCUGGCCAGCCAGCAGAGAGCCCAUGGGGGGAGGUCGUGGAGGUAGUUUUCAAUGGGCCAGGGUAGCAGUGGCCCAGAUCUCGUGCUCAGUCAUGUGUCCACACAGUCUGCCAGGGAAGGGUGACUAGGAGACAGUGGGGUUGGGUGCCUACAAAGAGGAAACCAUGGAUUUUGGUUCUGCAGCCAGCACCUUGUCACAGUUAUCAAUUUUGUCCUGUUUAUGACACUUUGAUGCCCCCCAACACACACACCCUUUCCUCAUAUAUAUAUAUUUCAUACAUUUUUGGUCUUUGUUAACGUAAGUUUUGGGAUUUUAUUAUUACUGUAUUUUGCUGCCUCUUCAAGGGUAAUGUUGAUACUGAAAUUGUUUUAAACUUAGUUAUAAUUGUAGAUUUGCAACAAUUUAAGCAUUUCUAGUUUAAUUGGUUUCGAUGCUUUUAGUCUUUUUUAAACAUGGGUUUUAUUUGGCUUUAGUUGGAAACCUUUUCACAUAUUUUUAAAGACAUAGGAAUAUUAUCUGAGCCCCUGCAAACAGAACUUUUUUGAAGUUUUCACACUUGAAAGAUGACUGGGUAUUCAAAUUCUCGAGUCACGGCCCUUUUUCUUCUGAAAACGUGCUUUCUGGCACUCUGUAGUGGAGCAGAGAGAGCUGAAACUAGCUUCAUUUUUGCUUGUUAUUUUGUUUUGUAAAUCAUUCUUUUGGGGUCUGUAUCCUAUUAGAAUUUUAGUACUAUCCAAAAAUAUAUGCCAGAAUCUAUCUAGGUCCAAAUCUCUUUGUCUGGUUGUAUAAAGAUACUGCUUUGUUGCUAUAACAAAGAUCAUAAAAUAGCAGUGGCUUAAAAACCAGUUUUCUCUCUCAGGUACCGAUUUGAGCCUAAGCCCUCCAGUCUGAUGUAGCAGCAUCAUAAUGUCAAGAGCUUUCCUUCACACUUGGCUGCCACUUUGCAUUUUAAGGUGGCCUUUCCUACUCCAUCCCUGCUCUCACCUCCACAUCUGCAUUCCGCCCCACGGGAAGUGGAAAGUGGUGGGUACAUCCUGGAGAUGGCAGGUAUGCAUUGUUUUUCUCUUUUAAGAAAGUGGUUCCAUGAAAACCAGACCAUGGCAUGCAUUGAAGGUUGUACGUAUAAGCUAUAAGGAACCACUAUAGUUCUGUAGAGCUUAUAAUUAUUGUCAGUUUCCCUUUGCUUUUUGUUUAGUUGGUUUUCUGUUUUUGGUGCUCUUUUCAUCAUUUUUGAUAUUUAACCGAUUGAGCCACCCAGGCACCCGAUCAUUUUGUUCAAUAUUUAACAAGAAACCAUGAGAAGAAACAUUGAUGGCUGGUAACCAGUAGGCUUUUUUUUUUUUUUUUUUUUUAAUGUUUAUUUUUGAGAGAGAGAAAGAGAGACAGAGUGUGAUGGGGAGGAGCAGAGAGAGAAGGAGACACCGAAUCCGAAGCAGGCUCCAGGCUCUGAACUGUCAGCCGAGCCUGAUGCAGAGCUCAAACUCAAGGUGGGCAGGUUUGGGAAAGAGCCAGAAGACAGAAUCUGCAGGAUGGAAAGUUUGAAAAGUGAGGGAAGAGUGUAGGACUCCAGACCCUGCAGGCCUCUGAAUGUGAAUUUAGAGAAGAUGACAGUCUGCUAAGUAGGUAUACACUGGGUAGAGCUCUAUUCCCUAGUGUUUUCCUGCUGUUCUGUGUGGGUUUAAAGGGGGCAGGAGGCAGCUGCCUCCUCUUCAGGGAGGACCUUCACUUCCCAGCAUGUAGCUGAGAUGUCCUAUUUCUAGGCACAGAACCCUGGUGUUUUUGGUGGCCUGGCCCAGUACCACGGAUUCGGGGCCCUCGGCUCUGGAAGAAUGUCCUUCCAGAGCCAGUGGGGGUCUCAAGGAAAUCGGGUCAGGCCGGGGCAGGGAAUGGGCCCAGGAGAUGAAGCCAGCUCAGAGCAAACUUACGGUUUUGCCGCCCUUGCCGAUCACCCGGCCAGCUGUAGAAGAGGGCACUCUGAUGUGCGCUUCCAGCUUCACCUCUUCUUUGGGGUUAAAGAAGUUUUCUUCCUUCAGUUUCCCAAAGAUCCGCCCCUGGGCCUGAGAGAGCAAGGCGUGACCGCUUCGCCGUGCUGCUGCCAGAACCGGCCGGGGAGCCCAGGCCUGCACACCCCCAGCCCCGAAUUCACUGGGGCCACCACGGGGGAGCUGCGUACCCUGCUUCCCUCCUUCAGAGACCUGGCUGUUCCUGCCACACUCAAGGAACAUACCUGACCGCUGCCUCUUGGAAGCUUGUGUGUGGGGCCGAGGGUGGUGGUGAUGGGGCAGAACUAGGUCUUAGUUCCCUUAUCUACAGCACCUACAAACGCCUGGCUGAAUGAACCUGUCCAGGGGACUCUUAACUUCCUCCCAUCAUGGUAUGUUUAGACCCCGGGUUACAAAAGGAUGGAGGCGAGGUAGGUGGUGACUGGGGAUGCUUUCUGAUGUCUUAACUCCAGCCAGGGAAGUUGAGACGUUACGGUUUAAGACAAAAAAAGGCAAAAAAACUUUAACAAUUGAGAUAUAAUUCUUACAGCUUAAAAUUCAUCAUUUUGAAGUAUACAGUCCAGGAGUUUUCUGUGUAUUCACUACAUUAAGCAGCCAGUACCACUAUUCAGGACAUCUCCAUCCCAGUCCCCCGGAGCAAAACUCCAUACCUAGCAGGCAGUCCCCAUUCGUCCCUUCCCCAACCCCUACUUUCUGUCUCUGGAUUUACCUUUGCUGGACAUUUCAUAUAAAGGGACUCUCAUAAUAUGCGGCCUUUUGUGUCUGUCUUCUUUCACUUCAUGCAGUGUUUUCUAGGUUUAUCCAUGCUGUAGCAUGCAUCAGAAUUUUGCUCCUUUUUAUGGCUGACUAAUUUCCUACUGAGUGCAUAGAUCACAUUUUGUUUAUCCACUCAUGAGCUGAAGGGCUAUUAUUCUUAAAUGUUUUCACAUGUGUUAAUGUUUUCUCAAAUUUUCAGUAUUUUUAAUGAUAAGGACUAUACUUUUAUAAAUAUGUUUCUUUUAGAAAACUCAAUUUAUAAUUUUCCCAGGGGAGAAAAAAGGGCAAAAACAAAAUGCAUCUGACCAAACUCCCAACAAGCUACUGGUCUUUCCCCUUACACCCUAUGGUUAUGUCCCCACAGCUUGAAGGGUAUAAAAUACUAAAGGAGUCUGAGACACUUAUCCUCAAAACUGUGGCUAAGGGGUCAGAGAUAGCCCAGAGGAGUGUCAUUUGAACUAGGCACUGACAAUCUACAUUUCCAUGAGAGAGAAGGGAAGGAGUGCUCCAGGAAGCAGAGCUCCAGGGAACAACCUGGAGGUAGGCAAGACAGCAUGAGUCUGAGACUAGUGAGCAGCAGCAGGAAGAAAAAUCGAGGCUGGGCCUCUCAAAGAAGUCUUGAACAUGCCUCUGAGAUGGCCGCCACCUGCUAAAGGCCCUUAGCUACUGCAGGGCUGAGGUGGCCCCUGGCACUGACCUUGAACUGGGCUUCAGGUGGGCCGGUGAUGAUGACCAUUCUUUCGCUGACAUCUGGGCCUUCUGCCGGGGCAAUCUGCAGUUUACAAGGCAAGAGGAAAAUGCUGCUGCCGGGCUGUGGUCCCCAGUCCCCCCUCACAUACUAGCAAGGGAUUACGGUGUGGUUUCUGCCUUUGCAACUGCUGCUUUCACUCUGGGUCUUAGGAAGAUACCACCAUAGUGCCCAGUAUCAAAUUUGGGUCUUUGACCAUCCAGGCAGACUGGGAAGCAGUGCAAGGAGUUCCUGCCCGUCCCUGCCCCGAGCACCUGCAAUGACUGGCCUCCUUUUACCGAGCCAAGGGAGUCAAGAGCUCUAGGAGGAAGAAGGAGGUGUAGGCUCAGCCAGCCCAACCCAGGGCCCCGAGGGGGUAAGGGCUAAGUCCACAGAGGCAUUACUGUGGAGCCAACUUGCAGGAAAGGCACCCCUGGUUCUAGUUCUCAGCUCACAGAGGUAAUUGGCUGCAAGGGAGAGUUGAGCUAGAGCAUGAGUGGCCAGGACCAGCUCCUCCACGGCACAGGAACCAAGUGUGACAGCACCAGAGCAAGGAUGAGGUCACCCUGGUCCCAGUGUCUGCUCUGCAAAUCCCUCCCCUCCCCGGCCUCCAUGUCCUCAUCUGUGAAAUUUGGAGGUGAAAUCUGGCAAGCUCAAUGCUGCCUUCUAUUUGUGAGUCUAUCUGCUCUAUUUGUGAUUCUGAGUUCUCUUGUAACACAACUCAAUGACAGACCAAGCAAGCAUGGUUUUUUUUGUUGUUGUCGUUAGACUCAUUUUAUAUUCUUUUCUGCAUACCCUGCCUUAUUCUGAAAAUCAUUAAGGUAGCUUUGAAAAUGAAAACAGUGUAGCAAAACCAAAGUUAAUUUAAAAUGAGUUAAGGGUACACCAUUUAGGAAUGAGUCAAGCGUGAGGUUAGUACAACUGUCUGACAUUCACCAGCCAAGACCAGCAGUCCAAGAGCUACUCGUGUGCUCCUGCAGCUUUGGAAUGACAUUCCACCGGCAAACUCCCUCGAGAGCACCAGGAAGGAGAACCCUGUUUUAUCACUGAAACAAACAGGACCCGGAGGGGAGGUGACUGCCGAGAUCCCAGGGUGAGCACGGGCUGGAGUAAGGCUCAGGAGAUUUGUGUGGCAUUCUGAAGCCUGCCAGAUGCUCUGCAGGGCAGAGUGAUGGGAGCCCAGCUGUUGUCUGUGACCCAGGCAUCUUGGGGUGUUAUCUUCCCGACCUCACCUCAACCCAGCCCCUGCCAGCACUCAGCUCCCACAUAUAAGUGUACAGCUCUCUCCCUGCCCUGGGAGCAUCUCCCUGUGCCUGUAGCUGUGGUCCCUGAAGACAGGCAAAGCAGGAAUGGAGGGUUCUUUAGAGUGAGAUUAUCCAUUUUGCUUUAGAGAAAAUGCUUUCUUCAGUCCUGUUGAAAAUAACAAAGCCAGGUCUGAUUUUUAAAAGUAGAAAGCUUGUCUCACCAAUACUUGGCUUCUGUGGUUUUCUCUCCUUUACUGCUAUGGAGACUGGCAGGGAUCGGGAAAGAAGGCAGCGGCUGGAGAAGCAGGAUGUUGUGUGCAGCAUAAAGGAUGAUGGGGUACUGCCGGCCUGCAGAGCCCGUUCUGUUCCCCUGGUCCUGCCCUGCUGUGUCUGCCCAUCAGAGGCCAUGAGUCAGGUGAUACACCACUGCUCAACCUUGCUGGGACAUAGAAGGAUGGUGGGGACGCCGUGGAGUGGAGCCCAAGGGAUUGCCCUCUCUCUUAGUUUCCCGAAGGCCAGCUGGGAGUGACUCUGGUAUAGCACUCAGGUUGCUGAGGUGGAAAAAACACUGGACCAGAGAUCACAUCAGCUGGUCAAAUGUCGGCUCUUGUAUUCUUUACCUUCAUGACCUUCAACACUCAGUGAAACCCUCUGGGCCCUGUUCCUCACGGGCAACAGUAAGUGGGAAGGGAGUGCUCCAGCCAGUCCCAGUGGUGUUCAGCACACUAUAGGGCAGCACAACCGAUGAGGUCAGGGCCAGUCCUGCCACUUGCGUGUUUUGGCCUGGUCCCUGGGCCUCUCUAAGUCCCACUUUUCCCAGGGAAAAAGAGAGGAUUUCAUGUCAUAAUCCCUUGAGCCCUUUUGAGUUGAAAUCAUCUCAUUCUGUCUCCUGCACGGUAUCUCAGGCCAUAUGACUGGACACAGGGAAAGGCCCUUGAGGGCAGCCGGCCCAGUGGUCCUCCACGCUGUACCUGUCCUGCCACGGCUGCCGGCAUGUGGGCUGGGGUCUUAGCUGCAACAAGCCUGUUAGAAGCCAUGGCCCCCUGUGUGCUGUGCUGCAGUCCGCCCGCACCUCAGGGCUCCCGCCUAGACUCUGCGCUUGGCAGCACACUUGCUGUGGGAGAAAUUCCAGCUCUUCUUGUGGAGAAAGCGCAAGCAUUCUUUCUCUCCAAGUCAUGAGACUUCUCGCUCGGAAUUCCGGGUUGUCCCAUGGUAGCAAAUUAUUUUACGUAACAACGGAAACUCUGUUUUCAAAAGAGUUUCAUGAGGCUUGGGACGUGCUCAGCAUUCUGCCUGUGAGUCAGAGCCGAUAGCUGGGCUUGGAGCAGGACCAGGGUCGAAUAAUCCUUCCCUUUCAGCUUCUCGGGCGCUUCUUCACAUGGCGCUCGAAGGGGCAGGAUGUGGGUCUGUAACUACACUCACCACCAUUUCCAUAAAUCAAGGGGCCUUCCUUCCUGAGCCGCUCUGUGCAGUCCCAGGACUGCCUGUCCGGCUGUGAUACCAGCUUUUGUUUACCUACAAUUUUAUCACUUUCCAAAGAGUUUUUCAUCCCAACUACUUUCUUGAGAAUUUGUGAAGCAGAGAGACUAAUUAAAGCGUCAAAGCACUGAUAACAGCGAAGUGAAAAUGAUGCUCUGCUCAAGUCCGCUCCCUUUAGGUUGGGGAAAAAACCCUCAGCCUUUUUCUUUCCUCCCUCCCUCCCUUCCUUUUUUUUUUUUUUUUUUUUUUCUUUAUCUUCUUAAGAAGAAGACUAUGGUAGCCCAAACAGGACUGGGUUGGCUUGUCUGUUACUAGAAAUUUUUCUAAUUCAGUUGUUAGUUGAGCAAGAAAGGAAUGAGAGAGGUAAAGAUGAGAGCAGAUAGGAUUAAUCUUGGGGGCCAAUUUGCCAGAUCCUGUGGGAGUCUGUCCCCAGAAGGAGUCAGCGUUGCUCAGGACUAGCAGAAGGAACAACGCACAUGGGGUGGGAAGGUGCUGAUGGAAGAAGGCGGGAAACAGGUGGCUGUGGAGAGCAGCUUUACC